AAUUUUCUUAUGAUGUUGCCUGAGAGAUUCUUUGCAUUGAAAGAUGAAUAAUUAGAAAUGAUUGGUUCUCUCUAGUUUAUUUUAGAGAGAGGUUUUCUCUCGGUUGUUUUUCUUUCUGAGGAGAAAGUCUUCGUUUUUAUCAGUUCCGCAGUGGGAGAGGCUUUUCUCUUCUUGCUCGGACCGUGAAUUCUCUGCUCUUCCCUCCGAGUAGAAGUUUGCAUAUAGUUGUUUUCUAUUCUGCUCUUGUUUCUUCUUUUUUCUUUUGGUGCGGGUUGGUCUUCAUGGUUGUAUUUCUAGAUCCUGCUUUCGUUUGUUUGGUUGCUACUAAUUUCUUUUGCUUCAUUUCUGCUCCUCUUCCUCUUUCUCGGAGUUUUUCAGUGUGAAGUUUUUUAUGAUGAGGCAACAACAGAUCUUGAUUGAUGGGUUGAAGGGCGGCGGUGGCAUAUGAGCAAGGAGGCUUUUUCUUGCUUUAGGAUUUCUCUUUGGGCCUUCAGCAUUUAUUUUAUUGUAUCUGUUUUGAGCACAAAAGUCUAUUUGGGGGUGUUCUGAGUGCUUGUAACUAGACUUUGAUUUUUUGUUUUUUUAAUGAAAAUCUUCAUAAAAAAAAAAGAUGAACAAUUCUAUGAGAAGAUAAUUCUCUAAAAGCCUUUAUAAGAGCGAUUUCCAUUCU
This 670-nucleotide long non-coding RNA is filed under the name Manihot esculenta (cassava). RNAcentral's name for it is "long non-coding RNA (MESC_LNC007653)". The record is from RNAcentral. Lineage: Eukaryota; Viridiplantae; Streptophyta; Magnoliopsida; Malpighiales; Euphorbiaceae.